RNAcentral lists this ribosomal RNA (357 nucleotides) under Triticum aestivum (bread wheat). Its description in RNAcentral is "partial small subunit ribosomal RNA". The record is from RNAcentral. Lineage: Eukaryota; Viridiplantae; Streptophyta; Magnoliopsida; Poales; Poaceae.
AUGGAUAAUUCAUGGAUUCCAUGUGGGAGUGAGGCAACAAGGUUCGCUAUUCAUUGCCCAUAUCAUAGGUGUAGGUGGAGGCUGCAUGCAUCCCAUAUGCUAAAGAGCAAAUUGAUUCAGAUAAAAACACACUUCACCUGGAGGGGGAGGGGAAAGACCAAAACAAAGCUAGCAAAGACUAGGUGGGUGGCAGAUUCAAUCUUGGAUUGGCUGAGAGAAACACCAACUCUUGGUCCAACAACACUCCAUGGGAGGCUUUUUGAGGAGUACAAAAUUGAUAUACCUUACAUGAGGAUUUUUUAUGGUAGGGAAAUGGCUCUUGACAGGAUACAUGGUCCAUGGAAUGAGAGUUUUUAG